CUUAAUAAAACAACGCUGGUUCGACCCUUCUUUUUUCUUCUUUUUUACCCACUUUAUCUUCCCCUUCACUUUAUCUUCCCCUUCUCAACAGCGACAUGCAGACAAAGAAAGAGAACGAGACACGAGCAGAGCAGUAAGAGAGAGAAACAGAGAUCCGGGAGCCGGCGAGUCUCCGGCAACCGGCCUUCGACGCGUGCUCGCCUCCCACAAACAGAACCGAAGUCGUCGACUCUAGGGCUUUCUGGUGAAGAUUCGAGCGAUCAGAGGUGGAAGUGGCGAGUUCCGACGAGUCUAGGGUUCCGCCGUGACCUAUGAUGACAAUGGCGAUGUGGUGAAUAUGCUUCCAAAGCCACCUCUUGUUUAUAUUCAAACUCUUCAGCCCCUUUUCAUGUUUCUCGCCCUAUAAAUCAACCUUAUUUUCAUUCGAAUAUUGAACCCAAACCCACAUUCCAUCUCCGGUUAGUACAAAGUGGACUAUGAAAACGAAUACCAGCAACAGAUCCCAGAUUCAAGAUAUGAAUGCCUUCUUUUUGUUUUAGAUGUAGAUGACACCCUUUAUCCUCUAAGCUCUGGGCUGUCAGCUGAGUGCACCAAGAACAUCAAAAAUAUCUGCUCGCGAAACAAACAGUCUGAACCAUUAAUUGCUGAACCUAUAAGAGGUUUGAUACAACAAGUUAGUUAUUUAUUAGGUAUAGAUUUGUAUAUGAAUUUAAGUUAUCAUCUCUGUUACAUGAAUGCUUUUGUUUAGAGUAUAUGGUGAAAAAGCUUGAUAUAGAGGAAAGCAAAGUUCUGGAAAUGUGUGUCCAACUAUACAAGGAUUACGGGACAACAAUGGCUGGUCUUCGGGUUAUCGGGCUAUUGGCUAUGAUUCUGACCAUGAUGACUACCAUAGUUUUGUUCACGGGAGAUUACCAUAUGAAUAUCUGAAACCCGACCCUGUUCUUAAAAGUCUUUUAAAUAGUUUGCCCAUCAGGAAAGUGAUUUUCUCAAACGCGAACGAGGCACAUGUGGAAGAAGUUCUUGGCCGACUUGGAUUGGGGGACUGCUUUGAUGAUGUCAUAUGUUUCGAGUCCCUAAACUCUAAAACCCAAACCGCUAAUACUUCUAAGUGUGACAACGAACCCGUUGGUUUACUACCAAAGAGCCCUAUUGCUUGCAAACCCUCUGAAAACGCUUUCCAACAGGCUUUUAAGAUGGCCAACAUUAACCCUCAUAAAACCUUGUUCUUUGAUAACAGUAUACACAAUAUACAAACUGCCAAACUCACCGGCCUCACCACUGUGUAGGUUGGGUCGUCACAGCGUAAGAAUGGCGUGGACUACGCCUUACAGAGUGUUGGCAAAACAACGGGUCAUCAUCCACCACUCAUCAGAAUGACUUCUCUACCCAUAAUGUGUUGGAACUCAGAAACGAUACUAGGGCAUGAAUCAUAUCUGAAUCUUGGCAAGAGAUUAAUGAGGAUGAUCUGAAGUUUACAGCCAGGAGCUUUCAGCAGUGAAGUUGCUACUAUUGGUGAAUCGUGUUUGUAAUCAUAUUCAUGAAGCGCGGCGCAACGCGCGCGCCGGAUAACACCUAGUUAGUUUUAAAAAGUAUAAUUGUAUUCAUAGUCUAUAAGUUAAAGUUACGUAUCUAAAUUUUUGAAUGACAAUUUAAACUGUACAUGUAUAAGAUCAGAAACCCCACCUCAAUAUUUUAU
Molecule: RNA transcript, 1696 nt
Organism: Helianthus annuus (common sunflower)
Lineage: Eukaryota; Viridiplantae; Streptophyta; Magnoliopsida; Asterales; Asteraceae
Exons: 10
Source: RefSeq, a predicted model, not a curated record